AACGCAAAAAACCACAGCUGGAAUAUUAAAAGCAUUCCUAGGAGGCGGACCCGUAAGGAGCCUGCCCAGGAUCUAUGUGAAUUUUCAUGUACACCAGACUGGAGAACAGACCUUUGGUCAAUCUUGGGUGCAGCGUGUCAUCUGAUAGAUGUUCAGUUUUCUGACUCUGUCUAAGGGUUGCCCUUCGUGGUCCCGGAUGAGACUCGGUGCAAUGAUUGACUGAACAUAA
This 229-nucleotide small nucleolar RNA is filed under the name Sugiyamaella lignohabitans. The record is from RNAcentral. Lineage: Eukaryota; Fungi; Ascomycota; Dipodascomycetes; Dipodascales; Trichomonascaceae.